Molecule: ribosomal RNA, 756 nt
Filed under: Lentilactobacillus buchneri
Lineage: Bacteria; Bacillati; Bacillota; Bacilli; Lactobacillales; Lactobacillaceae
Description: bacterial SSU rRNA
Rfam family: Bacterial small subunit ribosomal RNA
Source: RNAcentral
AUACAUGCAAGUCGAACGCGUCUCCGUUAAUGAUUUUAGGUGCUUGCACUUGAAAGAUUUAACAUUGAGACGAGUGGCGAACUGGUGAGUAACACGUGGGUAACCUGCCCUUGAAGUAGGGGAUAACACUUGGAAACAGGUGCUAAUACCGUAUAACAACCAAAACCACCUGGUUUUGGUUUAAAAGACGGCUUCGGCUGUCACUUUAGGAUGGACCCGCGGCGUAUUAGCUUGUUGGUAAGGUAACGGCUUACCAAGGCGAUGAUACGUAGCCGACCUGAGAGGGUAAUCGGCCACAUUGGGACUGAGACACGGCCCAAACUCCUACGGGAGGCAGCAGUAGGGAAUCUUCCACAAUGGACGAAAGUCUGAUGGAGCAACGCCGCGUGAGUGAUGAAGGGUUUCGGCUCGUAAAACUCUGUUGUUGGAGAAGAACAGGUGUCAGAGUAACUGUUGACAUCUUGACGGUAUCCAACCAGAAAGCCACGGCUAACUACGUGCCAGCAGCCGCGGUAAUACGUAGGUGGCAAGCGUUGUCCGGAUUUAUUGGGCGUAAAGCGAGCGCAGGCGGUUUUUUAGGUCUGAUGUGAAAGCCUUCGGCUUAACCGGAGAAGUGCAUCGGAAACCGGGAGACUUGAGUGCAGAAGAGGACAGUGGAACUCCAUGUGUAGCGGUGAAAUGCGUAGAUAUAUGGAAGAACACCAGUGGCGAAGGCGGCUGUCUGGUCUGUAACUGACGCUGAGGCUCGAAAGCAUG